AGUGAACGCUGGCGGUAGGCCUAACACAUGCAAGUCGAACGGCAGCACAGUAAGAGCUUGCUCUUACGGGUGGCGAGUGGCGGACGGGUGAGGAAUACAUCGGAAUCUACUUUUUCGUGGGGGAUAACGUAGGGAAACUUACGCUAAUACCGCAUACGACCUACGGGUGAAAGCAGGGGAUCUUCGGACCUUGCGCGAUUGAAUGAGCCGAUGUCGGAUUAGCUAGUUGGCGGGGUAAAGGCCCACCAAGGCGACGAUCCGUAGCUGGUCUGAGAGGAUGAUAAGCGACACUGGAACUGAGACACGGUCCAGACUACUACGGGAGGCAGCAGUGGGGAAUAUUGGACAAUGGGCGCAAGCCUGAUCCAGCCAUACCGCGUGGGUGAAGAAGGCCUUCGGGUUGUAAAGCCCUUUUGUUGGGAAAGAAAAGCAGCAGGUUAAUACCCCGCUGUUCUGACGGUACCCAAAGAAUAAGCACCGGCUAACUUCGUG
This 492-nucleotide ribosomal RNA is filed under the name uncultured bacterium. RNAcentral describes it as "partial 16S ribosomal RNA". It matches the Rfam family "Bacterial small subunit ribosomal RNA", at positions 29 to 507 of the family's 1533-position model. The record is from RNAcentral.